CAUUAUAGUAAUUAUAAUGUCUAUAAUAAAACAACACCAUCGAUAUUCAUAGCAUUAGGAAAAAAAUACGUUUUACCUGCCAAUUCAAAGAAAGGUGAAAUUAGGUAAGGUCACAAGGUCUACCAAUUAACGCCUUUGUGGUGCCCAAGCACUUGUGGAGCCAUCAAUGUAUAAAUACAUUAAUAAAAAAAAUUCACUCUGGCCAUGGCAUGUACAUACAUGUCAUCACAAUGGCAAUAGGUUAUCAAUAAUGAUGGGUAAAAUUUUCAGUAGUCAGGGAAGGAUAGGACACCGAGACUUUAUCUUGUUUGCUUGUACUCAGAGAUACUUCGGACACUUUUUAUGGAAACCUUUUGUAUCUGGAAUAGCUGGACCUGAAGUUCCUUCCCCCUUGGUGGUGGUCAGGAAUUACUGACUUUCACUGAAAAAGGUAUCCGAAGUUUCCCAGAAUAUCAGCUGUAGAUGAUGUGGCACCUGGUGUCUGUGAUUAUUUAUCCUUAUGCAAUAGCAUGUUACCCUUUGCCCAAAGGUUAGGAAAAGUUGGUUUUAGUUACCAAAGCAUGAUUUUUUCCACCCUUAGGUGGUGCCAAUUUCUUGGUUACACCUAAGGGGACAUAAGGAAAUGCCCUGGGUAACUAGAACAACAAAAUAUUUUGAAGUAGUUGGUUGUCCAAAGGUACUGAGAGACUCAAAUUAUCACUAUAACGUCUUUGGUCAUAUAAUUUUUUGCCACACACCACAGUAACCACAAUUCCCAACAGACCCAGACCUGGAUGCAUCCAAAAGGAUAGCUGUACUGCAGGCACGGAUUCAAGAGUUGAAGAGAACCUACAUGCAAGUCAAGACGGAAUUAGCCUCUGUUGAACGCAGACGGAAAAAGCUUCGCAGGAAAGAGCGAGAAAAAGAGACCAAGGCAGAACCCACAUGAAAAGUGGAGUCUUUAAAACCCAGUCAAAGUGAAGGCUUACCAUUUAUAAGGUCUGAUGCCUGAGCAGCAGCAGUGAAUUUUUGCUGUAAAAGAAGAAUGGAUCUCAAGUAGUGCAGUGUAUGUGUUGAUUGACAGAAAUGUUUGUCUGCCUCAAAGGUGACAGGUUGUGCUUGAAAUAUAUUUAAGGUUUUAAAAGAUUUUUUCAAAAAUCACUUUUACUUGGUAUUAUUCAAGAUUCUGACUCUGACACUGUUUUCUCUCUCUCUCUCUCUCUCAUUUUCUCCCUUUCAUUGUACUAUGAAGUGAAAGCUCAAAAAGCUGGUUAUUCCAGCAUAAAUGAUUCAGGCAAGAGGAUGUGCCAUGGUAGUUUUAUCGAAGGGUCCUCUCAAUCUAAGUACUGGAACAGGGUAGUUUCGUUACUGUAAGGAAAGCUUUAAUAUGAAUGUAAGGACCAAUGGUGGUCAUAUCUACACAUAUACAACACUCUUGGAUAGAUCAAGUUGCCUGAGCUCUGAACUGCUGUAGCUUUCUUUUUUCUUUUUUUUCGGUAAUUUGCCAAACUCGGUGAUUAUAAUGUAGUUGUUGGGAGUUUAGAUUGCCAUUGUGUAUAGUAGUUAUAUGAAGUGUACAUAAGACAUACACAGAUAUUCGUGAUACUUAAGGUACUUUUUUAUUGUUAUCUUUUAUAGGGUAAUAUACCAGAAAAGUAUGAAGUUUUUUAUUGUGAAACUAACACGAGUGAAUGCCUUUUUGAGAAUUAUGUAUAUUGUGAGUAAUAUAUGAUGGAAUGAGUGUGAAAGAUUGAGUGGAGGCGCAAACCAUAAGGUAUUUAUGAAAAUUUGUAAUAUUUUUUAUACGGACUUUAAAAUUUUUUACUGUGUAUCUUCCUCAUACUCAUGUAAAUGAUGUCUCCUGCGAAGUACAAGUUGUACAUGUGCACUUGCAUGAACCUAGCCUAGGCUCUUGCCUACGUACAUUGCCUAUCAACACAACUCAUUUGAUGUAAUUUAGAUAUGUUGAUAAGCCUUUUAUCACUAGCAUUUUUACCAGUUUCAAUGAGAGCACUCUACCUUGUUUCCAUUACUGGGCAUCAGCAUUUAGUUGUUUUUUAGAAACUGAAUGCCAGCAAUUUAAAGUUUUGGGUAAAUAUGCAGAACACUGAACAGGUGGCCUGAGCCUCUGUUUCAUGCAAGUUUUUAUCUGUGAACGACUGCAAUUCCUUGGUCUUAUUUACUCUUUUUUGUGUCCAGAGUGGAGGCACUCUGGAGUAAGAUAACAAGACACAUUUUUAUGUGGCCUAAUAUAGAGAAAUAGUGAUGUCAGAUGCUUUACUAAACUUUCAUCUAGCAUUUAAUAUCUACAAAUGCUUAUUUAAUUCUUAAGUCUAGGGGUAUCUCAUGAGAGAAGUACCCCAGAAACAGUGUAAUGGCACGUGUGAAUACUACAAAAAGUGGCAUUAUAGGAUUAUGUCCUUGUUCAAGUCUGGGAAAAGUUUAAUGUAAAUCUGAAAGGAGUUCAAUUUUUGAAUAGGAAUUUUUUCUUUUUUCUUGUAGACUUGUCUUUGGUCUUCUUGUUUCUUUUAAAUAUUACCGGUUCAUUUUAAAUCAGGAUAAAGAAAUAAGGUAUAUUUAUUUUUUGUGAAAAUGUUCUUUGUAUGUGUGAAAGACCAAAAUUUAUGCUUAUGUCCAGGAAUUGCACACUUCAUUUAAUGCAUAAGCAGCUCAGAAAAUAUAAUUAGGCCAAAUAUCAUGUUAAACUUGAAUUUUCUAGUUAUGCUGGCAAUUUUUUUUCCUUUAUUUAUACCUAAUGUUAAUAGUUUUAUCUAUGUAAGAAAUAGAAAUCCUCACUGCUCAAGAUGUGAUGAUUGUUAUAUGAGCAAAUGGCAUUUACACUUGCCACAAAACAAAACAAGAAAAAUAAACAUAAACUAACCAAAAUGGAAAACAUUCUUGUCAAAAGUUAAAUAUUGGAUUUGUUCUACCAUAGACAAAGUCAUGGUCAGGGGUAUUAUGAAACUAGGCAACCCCAAACCCCAAGAAAGUUCUGUAUGGCUGGAGUAGCAGUAACUCCUCACGGCAGGUCAACACUUGUUUAAUUAUCACUGUACAGCCCAUAGUUGUUACACCAGAAUCAUAAAAUACAUGUUUUAUGUUCUAUUUCUA
Molecule: long non-coding RNA, 3090 nt
Filed under: Penaeus chinensis
Lineage: Eukaryota; Metazoa; Arthropoda; Malacostraca; Decapoda; Penaeidae
Description: uncharacterized LOC125041670
Source: RNAcentral